RNAcentral lists this ribosomal RNA (162 nucleotides) under Arabis caucasica. RNAcentral's name for it is "5.8S ribosomal RNA". It matches the Rfam family "5.8S ribosomal RNA". From Rfam's summary of the family: 5.8S ribosomal RNA (5.8S rRNA) is a component of the large subunit of the eukaryotic ribosome. It is transcribed by RNA polymerase I as part of the 45S precursor that also contains 18S and 28S rRNA. The record is from RNAcentral. Lineage: Eukaryota; Viridiplantae; Streptophyta; Magnoliopsida; Brassicales; Brassicaceae.
AACGACUCUCGGCAACGGAUAUCUCGGCUCUCGCAUCGAUGAAGAACGUAGCGAAAUGCGAUACUUGGUGUGAAUUGCAGAAUCCCGUGAACCAUCGAGUCUUUGAACGCAAGUUGCGCCCCAAGCCUUCUGGCUGAGGGCACGUCUGCCUGGGUGUCACAA